Molecule: long non-coding RNA, 705 nt
Filed under: Mytilus galloprovincialis (Mediterranean mussel)
Lineage: Eukaryota; Metazoa; Mollusca; Bivalvia; Mytilida; Mytilidae
Source: RNAcentral
AACUUUACUCACUUCUUUGAUAUAUUAAUCUAAAGAUCUGUAUACUUUUUGGUUUUGAUUCAAAAUUUUAUUUUGGUAAUAUUUAGUUUUUGUAAAAAAAAAAACAGGGUGGGGGGGUUUCACAUGUCCCGCCGUGUCUCUAAAACAAUAUAUGGUUAUUGCUUAAAACUUUCUCAUAAACUAUUUAUGAUUAUUGCAUAAGACUUCCACAUAAGACAUCGGGCGUAUCAUGCGCUCAUGGCGCAGCUGUUUAUUUUUGUAUAUGAGAUCAUACAGUCUAUACGCUUUUGAAACUCACCCUGUUUAACCAAACACUUUUCUUUGUAAGAGUUAUCUCCCCAAACACUGUUUUUCUUGUUAUCAGAUCUCCUCCGCAACUGUAAAAGAAAGCGACAAAUUUAUUUUUCAAAAUUGCUCGUUAUAUCCUCAGGAUGUUACGUUUUAUUUUGACCGAAGCUUUACGAAUACCCCAUAUGAGAGUAAUUUCCCCUUUUGUAUUGAAAUAAGUGAAAUAAAUUUGUAACUGGAAAACCAUAAGUGAUAGAGGCCUAGGGUCUUUUGAUUUGAGGCCCUUGGUCAAAAAGUAUGAAAAUGAGGUCAAGGUCAAAGGUCAAGUUCAUGAUCAAAUUUUUGAUUUUGGCUUGUUAUCUCUUAUUUCGUAACAUGUAAAUUUUACUUACGUAACAUUUAAUGCGAGUUUUGCCC